AACGGACGCUGGCGGCAUGCCUAACACAUGCAAGUCGAACGAGACCUUCGGGUCUAGUGGCGCACGGGUGCGUAACACGUGGGAACCUGCCCUUAGGUUCGGAAUAACUCCCCGAAAGGGGUGCUAAUACCGGAUAAUGUCUUCGGACCAAAGAUUUAUCGCCUUUGGAUGGGCCCGCGUUGGAUUAGCUAGUUGGUAGGGUAAAAGCCUACCAAGGCGACGAUCCAUAGCUGGUCUGAGAGGAUGAUCAGCCACACUGGGACUGAGACACGGCCCAGACUCCUACGGGAGGCAGCAGUGGGGAAUAUUGGACAAUGGGCGAAAGCCUGAUCCAGCAAUGCCGCGUGAGUGAUGAAGGCCUUAGGGUUGUAAAGCUCUUUUACCCGGGAUGAUAAUGACAGUACCGGGAGAAUAAGCUCCGGCUAACUCCGUG
Molecule: ribosomal RNA, 433 nt
Filed under: uncultured bacterium
Lineage: Bacteria
Description: partial 16S ribosomal RNA
Rfam family: Bacterial small subunit ribosomal RNA
Source: RNAcentral